GCGCCCGUAGCUCAACUGGAUAGAGCAUCAGAUUGCGGAUCUGAAGGUUACAGGUUCGAGUCCUGUCGGGCGCACCA
This 77-nucleotide transfer RNA is filed under the name Candidatus Sungbacteria bacterium RIFCSPHIGHO2_02_FULL_47_11. RNAcentral's name for it is "tRNA-Arg". It matches the Rfam family "tRNA". Rfam says of the family: Transfer RNA (tRNA) molecules are approximately 80 nucleotides in length. Their secondary structure includes four short double-helical elements and three loops (D, anti-codon, and T loops). Further hydrogen bonds mediate the characteristic L-shaped molecular structure. tRNAs have two regions of fundamental functional importance: the anti-codon, which is responsible for specific mRNA codon recognition, and the 3' end, to which the tRNAs corresponding amino acid is attached (by aminoacyl-tRNA synthetases). tRNAs cope with the degeneracy of the genetic code in two manners: having more than one tRNA (with a specific anti-codon) for a particular amino acid; and 'wobble' base-pairing, i.e. permitting non-standard base-pairing at the 3rd anti-codon position. Lineage: Bacteria; Candidatus Sungiibacteriota. The record is from RNAcentral.